Molecule: long non-coding RNA, 386 nt
Organism: Oncorhynchus tshawytscha (Chinook salmon)
Lineage: Eukaryota; Metazoa; Chordata; Actinopteri; Salmoniformes; Salmonidae
Source: Ensembl
ACCAGUACAGAGUCAAUGUGGAGGCUAUAUACAGGGGCUAUAUACAGGGGGUUACGGUACAGAGUCAAUGUGGAGGCUAUAUACAGGGGGUUACGGUACAGAGUCAAUGUGGAGGCUAUAUACAGGGGGUAUCGGUACAGAGUCAAUGUGGAGGCUAUAUACAGGGGGGUUACGGUACAGAGUCAAUGUGGAGGCUAUAUACAGGGGGUACCAGUACAGAGUCAAUGUGGAGGCUAUAUACAGGGGGUUACGGUACAGAGUCAAUGUGGAGGCUAUAUACAGGGGGUACCAGUACAGAGUCAAUGUGGAGGCUAUAUACAGGGGUUACGGUACAGAGUCAAUGUGGAGGCUAUAUACAGGGGGUACCAGUACAGAGUCAAUGUGGA